Long non-coding RNA from Homo sapiens (human), 1876 nucleotides. The record is from Ensembl. NCBI's taxonomy places the organism in Eukaryota, Metazoa, Chordata, Mammalia, Primates, Hominidae.
AGAUUUCCUGUCCUUGGGAAGCUGUCAUCAUCCUUCUAUCUUUACACCCCAUGAUUUACCCCUUGCAGUGUACUUAUUACACUGUAUUGGAAUCGCUUCUUUUCUCUUUCUCUGUGAAUUUCUUGAGAGCACAGACUACAUUCUGCUUAACUUUUUAUCCCCAGCUUUCAGCACAGUGCCUGGCUGCUUUGGCGUCUCCAAGUACCUGACCUCAGCUCAACCUGUCUUGGGUUUUCUUCUCCUCCCUGACAUUGACAACCCAGCCCUCCUAGGCACAGAGAGAUGGAGCUGAGUGUGGUUUUCCUGAAAUAAAGCUUGCAUUAUGAGAGGGAAUAAACAGUGUCUGAGGCGCAUGGCCCCGGGAGAGGAGGAGAAUGGGACGGUGGUUCAGAUCUGCUGAUGUAGCUGUGGUCAGUCACUGGGGAGAAUAGGCCUGUGGAUUUCUGCUCCUCUGAGAUGGAUCCAUCACUGACUACUGAACUUGUUUUCUCAUUGGCUCAACUUAAGAAGGUUCUAGAGGUGAGAAAAGAGUUCACAAAUCCAUUGGUCUGAAUGAGGUGAAUUUCUGAGAUAUGCUUUUAUUUUGGAGAACAGUAUACACAUUUAACUUCUAUUUUCAGUGUAGAAAAAAUGUCUAUCAUGGUUUUUGUCACUCUUAUUAAACACAGAAAGGGUAAAAUGCAGUUAUGGUUAUAGGUUCUCAGUUAUGCCUGAAAAAAAACUGAAGUAAAAUUUAAUUUAUUAAAAAUGAUCAGGAAAUCUUCCCACUACCAUGUAGGAUCAAGGACGUGAAACAACCAAAACCAAAGAGCAGCUGGAGACCACUUGCCAGUGAUUAGCACGAGGUAAGCUGCAAAGAACUUUGAAUUAGGUCAGUCUAAAUAAUAGGGCGUUUUUCAAGUCCUUGCCUUGGGAAGAUCAGGAACACGGUGAAUAAUUGGGAUUACCUUUGUCUCACUAAGAGCCAAACCCCAGGUGUUGUAAGGCUACAAAGCUAUCUCAUUGUCUUCCUGUAUCAUCCAACGCUGAGAUCCUCUGUGACAUUUUAAAUUGCUUAUGUAGCAAAGCAAAUGGAGUACAGUAUUCAAACAUAGUUUUGUGUUUGUAGAGAACAUAAGAAGCUGAAAAUAUGAAUGGAUUCAAAGUGCAUGUAGAAAAAAAUGUGUCUGCUAUCUUUGUGAUUUGUUGCUAAGGAAAUGUUUCAUAGAGUAUUAGUACUGGACGAGCCCAAAGAAAUAAUAAUAUGAAGCCAUGUGAUAUUUGGGAUCCACUUACACUAAAAAUUAUUGUUUAUUACAUUUACAUUAUAUUAUUUGUUCUUUAUCUGAAAUCCGAAUUUACCAGAGCGUCUUUUGUUUUUAUUUGCUAAACCUGGCACCCCUAUUGAAAAUCCUGCUCCCCAGGCUUCAGCAAUAUCUCACUAUGUAGAAAAAGUUAGGUUAAAGUUGAAUUGUCUGCUAUUUUAGAAUGUCUAAAUAUAUUCAGAAGGCAAACUAUUGGAAGAUUUUUUUUAAGCUCAUUUUAUAUUCAAAACUUAGAAAUAAGGCUCAAGGAGGAAGGCGUGUCCUUCCAAUGUCAUUUUGGAGCAUUGUUGAAUAGGUCUAUCUGAAGAUUAUUUAAAUAUUUAGGGCAAUGUUCUUGUUUGUCCCGCGAUCUAUUAAUGAUUAAAGGGCCGAGGUCUGUGAAGUUACAUGUUAUCGUGAGGUAUUUGUCUGGCAGUGAUGCAAAUCAAUUCUGUCUGGUAGAAAAGAUAACCUAAAAGGUUAUAAUUACUGCUUUAGUGCGUUGCAGGAUAUUAACUUGUUUUGUAUAACCUAGGGCUCUUAUGCUAACAUUUUUUUCAUUUUUUUAAAAAUAAAAUCUUUAAAACUUUAAA